AGCUGAGGGUUAGUCGGGACCUAACGCGAACCCGAAAGGGGUAGUGGAUGGACAAUGGGUUAAUAUUCCCAUACUUGCUCACACUAAAAAGGGGACGGAGUGACGUAGCUACUGGAGACUGACGGAAUAGUCAAGACCUAGCCUUCGGGCGAAGUUGUUGUAGUGAACUCGCUUCCAAGAAAAGCCGAAGUGAAGCAACCCGUACCAAAACCGACACAGGUAGUCGAGGAGAGAAUCCUAAGGUGCUCGAGUGAGUCGUGGCUAAGGAACUAGGCAAAAUAGUCUCGUAACUUCGGAAGAAGAGACGCCAACAGCAAUGUUGGCCGCAGUGAAGAGGCCCAGGCGACUGUUUAUCAAAAACACAGGACUCUGCUAAAUCGAAAGAUGCUGUAUAGGGUCUGACACCUGCCCGGUGCUGGAAGGUUAAGGAAGGGCGUUAGCGUAAGCGAAGCGUUUGACUGAAGCCCCAGUAAACGGCGGCCGUAACUAUAACGGUCCUAAGGUAGCGAAAUUCCUUGUCGGGUAAGUUCCGACCUGCACGAAUGGUGUAACGAUCUGGGCACUGUCUCAACCAUGAGCUCUGUGAAAUUGUAGUAUCGGUGAAGAUGCCGAUUACCCGCAAUGGGACGAAAAGACCCUGUGAACCUUUACUAUAACUUCGUAUUGACUUUGAGUAAACAAUGUGUAGGAUAGGUGGGAGGCUAUGAAGCUGGCACGCUAGUGUUGGUGGAGCCAACGUUGAAAUACCACCCUUUGUUUACUUGGAGCCUAACUUCUACGGAAGGACAUUGCGUGGUGGGUAGUUUGACUGGGGUGGUCGCCUCCAAAAGAGUAACGGAGGCUUUCAAAGGUACCCUCAGCACGCUUGGUAACCGUGCG
This 879-nucleotide ribosomal RNA is filed under the name Epilithonimonas hispanica. RNAcentral describes it as "bacterial LSU rRNA". It matches the Rfam family "Bacterial large subunit ribosomal RNA", at positions 1371 to 2344 of the family's 2925-position model. The record is from RNAcentral. Lineage: Bacteria; Pseudomonadati; Bacteroidota; Flavobacteriia; Flavobacteriales; Weeksellaceae.